AGAGUUUGAUCCUGGCUCAGAACGAACGCUGGCGGCAGGCCUAACACAUGCAAGUCGAGCGCCCGCAAGGGAGCGGCAGACGGGUGAGUAACGCGUGGGAACGUGCCCUUUGGUUCGGAAUAUUCCCGGGAAACUGGGAGCAAAACCGGAUAAGCCCUUCGGGGGAAAGUUUACGCCAAAGGAUCGGCCCGCGUUAGAUUAGGUAGUUGGUGGGGUAACGGCCUACCAAGCCUACGAUCUAUAGCUGAUCUGAGAGGAUGAUCAGCCACACUGGGACUGAGACACGGCCCAGACUCCUACGGGAGGCAGCAGUGGGGAAUCUUGGACAAUGGGCGCAAGCCUGAUCCAGCCAUGCCGCGUGGAUGACUGAAGGUCCUAGGGUUGUAAAGUCCUUUCGACGGGGACGAUAAUGACGGUACCCGUAGAAGAAGCCCCGGCUAACUUCGUGCCAGCAGCCGCGGUAAUACGAAGGGGGCUAGCGUUGUUCGGAUUUACUGGGCGUAAAGGGCGCGUAGGCGGAUUUUUAAGUCGGGGGUGAAAUCCCGGAGCUCAACUCCGGAACUGCCUUCGAUACUGGAAGUCUGGAGCACGGUAGAGGUGAGUGGAAUUCCGAGUGUAGCGGUGAAAUGCGUAGA
This 635-nucleotide ribosomal RNA is filed under the name uncultured bacterium. RNAcentral describes it as "bacterial SSU rRNA". It matches the Rfam family "Bacterial small subunit ribosomal RNA", at positions 8 to 694 of the family's 1533-position model. The record is from RNAcentral.